RNAcentral lists this transfer RNA (71 nucleotides) under Acidobacteriota bacterium. RNAcentral's name for it is "Acidobacteria bacterium tRNA-Ala". The stretch from base 12 to 68 matches the Rfam family "tRNA". Rfam says of the family: Transfer RNA (tRNA) molecules are approximately 80 nucleotides in length. Their secondary structure includes four short double-helical elements and three loops (D, anti-codon, and T loops). Lineage: Bacteria; Pseudomonadati; Acidobacteriota. The record is from RNAcentral.
GGAAUUGUUGUGGGCGAGUUUCCUGCUUUGCAAGCAGGGGGUCGCCGGUUCGAUCCCGGCCACGUCCACCA